GACGAACGCUGGCGGCGUGCUUAACACAUGCAAGUCGAACGGAAAGGCCCUGCUUUUGUGGGGUGCUCGAGUGGCGAACGGGUGAGUAACACGUGAGUAACCUGCCCUUGACUUUGGGAUAACUUCAGGAAACUGGGGCUAAUACCGGAUAGGAGCUCCUGCUGCAUGGUGGGGGUUGGAAAGUUUCGGCGGUUGGGGAUGGACUCGCGACUUAUCAGCUUGUUGGUGGGGUAGUGGCUUACCAAGGCUUUGACGGGUAGCCGGCCUGAGAGGGCGACCGGCCACAUUGGGACUGAGAUACGGACCAGACUCCUACGGGAGGCAGCAGUGGGGAAUAUUGCACAAUGGGCGGAAGCCUGAUGCAGCAACGCCGCGUGCGGGAUGACGGCUUUCGGGUUGUAAACCGCUUUCGCCUGUGACGAAGCGUGAGUGACGGUAAUGGGUAAAGAAGCACCGGCUAACUACGUG
This 468-nucleotide ribosomal RNA is filed under the name uncultured bacterium. Its description in RNAcentral is "partial 16S ribosomal RNA". It matches the Rfam family "Bacterial small subunit ribosomal RNA", at positions 28 to 507 of the family's 1533-position model. The record is from RNAcentral.